GCGAUUUAAGUUCCAAUAGCGCGUGCUAUAACCAACGGCAGUGCACCAAAGUUGUGCAAAUCGCACCGUUCUUCUGAUGAGUAACGUACAACUGUACAGGACAGGUGGAAUAUACUUACGAAGACAAACUCAAGGAAAACAACUCAACAGCUUUCACUAAGCUAUGUUUUGUUACAAGUUGAGGUAAUUGUUUACAUCUUUGUGGCAACAGCAGAGAAUGACAGUAUUCAAUCGGACUAGCAUUAAUUGCAGUUAUAUCAUCUUUGUCUGUAUUAUUUAAAUUCAUUAUUUGUUCUUCUGACACAAGUUUUGUAAAGUUAAAAUCUUUCUCAUUGAAAGGUUGGUUCAUUGAAAUAAUAUUUUCUGGAAAUCUUC
This 375-nucleotide unclassified non-coding RNA is filed under the name Bombus terrestris (buff-tailed bumblebee). RNAcentral describes it as "misc RNA ENSBTSG00005025458.1". The record is from RNAcentral. Lineage: Eukaryota; Metazoa; Arthropoda; Insecta; Hymenoptera; Apidae.